CAGUGAAACACUGACUGCUUAUUAUGGAAUGCAUUUCUUGAAAAGCCUCAGUAGAGCUCUGUGGUAGUAACUUUAUGCACUGGAGUGAGAAGAGAUGUCCACAAAUCUCUCCUGGUUAGAAAAGAAUAGGGGAAGAGACAUGGUCCCAGGUUAAUCACUAGGCAGCAUUUAGAAUCUAAUCUCUCCACCAAUCAGAAACGCUGGGGAUGCUUUAAAAAUUAGUUGAAUAUUAAAAUACUUUUAAUAUUCAUUCAGCAAGAAAGAAGGUCUCUCUAGUGCUAUUGAGCUGCUUUGAGAGGACCAUUAGAACAACCUUCCACUGGACAGUGUUGGAGAACUGGAGUACAAUCCUCUAGCACUCCAAGGUGUGAAGGGAUGACUAAAUACCUGCUUAGCAGAUUUUCUUCCAGGAGUUUGCUGUGAACAAUCUAAAUGAACAGAUUCCUUCUGAGACUAGUUUAUUUGAAACCGUAGGAAAUUCUGAAAAUGGCCAUUGUUUCUUCCCUUUUCUUCUCUGGAAUUCUUUCCAACAGCAGCAGAACAGGAAGAUUAUCAUGGCAUACCAGUCACCAGUCACAGUGUCCAGUGAUAUAUUGUUUGCUUCUGUAUAGAAGAUUUUUUAUUGAAAACACUUCCCUCUGGAAAAUGCCUAGCUCCCAUCAGCCGGAAAAUUUUCCACUCUGUGUAUCAGUCAUCUGAGUUGUGUAUCUGUUAAUGACUAAGUCAGUUUAAUGGUGUGUUCAACCUCUCUUUUGUCUGAAUCUUUUUGCAGACUAUUAAAUUAUAUUCCCACUCUGAAAGGAGGUGUUUCACUUUCGUAUGUAAUACUAAGGUGUUUGAUAUCUCUUGCAGAUAUAUACUGUGUUUGAUUCAGUGUGACACACCUUUUCCUUAGAUGAAGAUGAAAAUUCUGAAAGAUCAGCCAGGCUACUCGAUCAGUCAGAUCUGCUGUUGUCCCAAAGCUUCCAUCUUCCCUUAAACUGCAUUUCAUCAGAACCUCCUCCUGUGAAUGGCUUGGUAUCCACUGUCAUAAUUCUAGUAUCUAGUUUCUUAACAGAAGAGCCUAAUUUGAUCAGACUCUCCCAUUUUUAUCCAUGGGGGACAUGACAGCUCCAGGUGAUAUACUAUCCUUCCUAGCAUCACUGUUUGAUAAUGAUGUCAAUAUUGUAAAAGGAAGGUAUCCAUUCAAUCCGUGAACUAGAAAACCUAGAGUUCCAGUGAAAGUAAGUACUUGAUGCUGACUGGUCUGGAAAUCAUGACCUUGUUAAAAUUCUUUCUAAGCAAUAAAAGGCUGAUGGGGAUGAAGAGCAUUAUUUCAGUCCUGAAGUGGCCAAUCCUUUACAGAAGGCAUCAGGGAUCAAUUUAGGUUUUUGACAAGUUCAUGACUUCAAUAAGUAACUGAUAAACUAAAAAGAGGUUGAUUAACAGUUUAUAAAUAGCUGCCCAUAAAGAAGCAGUAGCAAACAAGAUUUCUUUCACUUCUUCAUAUGACUAGCACCAGGAAGGAACUUUGUGGACAUCUCUGGGUUGGACCUCACACUACACUUAUAUAUUUUUGCUUUGACAGAGGUGAUUUCCAUACAAAAGUUAGUGAAACAGGCAAUAACUGGAAGACGUUUGGAAGAGGUAAAUAACUUUCCACCAGAGAGACACACGUCAUGAAACUUCCUGGAGAGACUAGCAGAAGCAUCCUAAAGCCUCUUCAUCUCCUGAGCCACAAACUAGAAGCAUGAUGUUUCAUUUAGGUUCAAUUUAUGCAAAUUAUUGCACAUCCUAGAAGAGCUGCUCCUCUCCCACUGUUCUUCUCCUAACGCAGUGGCCCUUUGAUUAUGUACAACAGAAAGGGUGAUAUCCACCACAACCAGAUAAUCUAGAACUGUUUACCACAGUCCUCGUGCUUAUGUAAUGAGCAAUGGCUUACAUCAACAUGCCGGGGUUGUUAGCAAGUGAAGGAAAGAGGAGUUUGUAAUUCAUGUGAAACAUGAUUCAGCUGUCAAAGAUGUGCAGAAGCAGAAGAGGAAGGUUUGCAAGAUGCCUUUUUCCUCCGUUAUGCCAACUCAUUUGCACUGCAAGUUACAACACAGAUGGGACCUGCUGCCCCUAUGUCUGAUAUGCUCACUACCUUUUACCUUCUUACCGUCCAGCACUUGGCAUUUACUCUAUGCACAAGAAGGGAUUUGUCGAGCAGGCUGUGUCAUGCUUUUCCUUGUGGCCAGUCCAGGGACAGCACAUUGCUCAAGAUUGGGUACUGAAGCUAAAUAGGAAAGUUUCAUUUUUCAUUUAGUUCCAAUUUUGUUUUCAAUAGACGAAAUAUAUGUCAAUAAUUUUGUGUGUUUUUUAAUUAUUCAAGUUGAAAC
Dromaius novaehollandiae (emu) is the source of this 2357-nucleotide long non-coding RNA. RefSeq lists it as uncharacterized. The record is from RefSeq and is a predicted model, not a curated record. NCBI's taxonomy places the organism in Eukaryota, Metazoa, Chordata, Aves, Casuariiformes, Dromaiidae. The transcript is spliced from 4 exons.